This 86-nucleotide transfer RNA is filed under the name Felis catus (domestic cat). It matches the Rfam family "tRNA". From Rfam's summary of the family: Transfer RNA (tRNA) molecules are approximately 80 nucleotides in length. Their secondary structure includes four short double-helical elements and three loops (D, anti-codon, and T loops). Lineage: Eukaryota; Metazoa; Chordata; Mammalia; Carnivora; Felidae. The record is from Rfam by way of RNAcentral.
ACGUGGGUGGCUCAGUCGGUUAAGCAUCUGACUUCGGCUCAGGGCAUGAUCUCACAGGUUUGCGAGUUCGAGUCCCGCCCUAGGCU